AUGCUUGCUUUUCGGGAUUCACUUGAAGUGUGCGAGCUGACUGAUUUGGGUUUUGUUGGAAGGCCAUAUACUUCUGAUAAUAAGAGGAGUGGUGCAGCAAAUGUUAAAGUACGGUUAGAUCGUGGAGAUGCAAAUCUGGAUUGGAGGUACAUGUUCCCUGCUGCCUCAAUCCAUCAUCUUGUUUCACCCCGGUCGGAUCAUUGUCCAUUGCUUGUCAAGUGCGAAGCUGAUUCGGGCCCAAAACCUAAGAAAGUUAAGCACUAUGAGAUCAUGUGGGAGAGGGAUUCUGCCCUCACAGAAGUUAUUGCAAACAUGUGGAAAGAUGCGGGCCAAAAACGUACACUUGGGGAGAUUGGUCAAGCUUUGGGGAAGGUAAUGACCUCGUUGCAUCAAUGGAGCAGAGCCAAAAUUGGCAAUGUAACUAGGGAGAUUGAGAAGUCUCGUACGAGGCUAGAGGAGCUAAUGAAUAUGAAUGCGGACCGAGCCGAACUGAGAAAGGAGGAGGAUAAAAUGAAUGAAUUACUAUACCGAGAAGAGAUGAUGUGGUUGCAAAGGUCUCGUAUUGCUUGGUUAAAAGAAGGGGACCGAAAUACAAAAUUUUUCCAUGCCAAAGCGAUUUGGCGGGCGAGGAAAAACAGUAUUAAAAAACUUGAAGAUACAAAUGGGGUUGUUCAUUCUGGAGAUGCAAUGGGCCAGGCUGCUACUUCUUACUUUCAAAACAUCUUCACUACCGACCCCUUGUGUCGGUCACCUACAUCCGCUCAUGCAAACACAUGUUAA
This 780-nucleotide ribosomal RNA is filed under the name Triticum aestivum (bread wheat). Its description in RNAcentral is "partial small subunit ribosomal RNA". Lineage: Eukaryota; Viridiplantae; Streptophyta; Magnoliopsida; Poales; Poaceae. The record is from RNAcentral.